Nomia melanderi (Alkali bee) is the source of this 1049-nucleotide long non-coding RNA. RefSeq lists it as uncharacterized. The record is from RefSeq and is a predicted model, not a curated record. Lineage: Eukaryota; Metazoa; Arthropoda; Insecta; Hymenoptera; Halictidae.
CAAAUUAAGCAAAUUCUAUUCAUAGUAUGUCCAGAUAUACACAUUCUUUACGGAAAACAGCAAUUAUAUAUGAUAAAAAAAGGUUAUCGACUUUUGAAUGCAAUUACUAUUUAAAUGAUAACCGUGAGGAUGUCCAAGGGCAUACUAUCAUUGUUGUAGUAUAUAGUAUCGCUGCACUGAGCUAUGUCUAUACGAACAUUGUUCUCGUUAAACAUUACGUAACGGACUAAUACUCGACUUAAACUCUCGUUUAAAUGAUCAUUCGAAAAACUUAUCUCGCAACAUCAAUUUUGUCCGCAGAUUCUUCGCCAAUUGUUCCGUCGCCUGGACGAGAUUUAUCAACGGGAUACAACCUGCAAAGAAUUAUAUUUAUAUAAGCAUUACCAUAUAUGGUAACUAAUUAAGUACUGACUCACCAUCUUUGAUACAGGUACAAGAACAAGCAAUGAGGAACCUUCAUCUAGUAAAUAGAGGAAUAUGACAGUCUGACAAAAUCCUGUUCUCACCACAGUCCAUUUACUUAGGCCAACAAGAUUAUCCUUUUUCCUCCAAUAACUGACGUCAUUUUUAAAAGCAAGAAAAUCAAACAGCAACUACAACAACAAGGAAUAUUACAAUACUUAAUUAACUGUUUGAAGUAUACUUUACUGGUUUCUCCAAACACGUACAUGAAUUGCUGUAAUGAAGAAAGUUCCUCCCAAAAUAUAUAUGUUAGUAUCUACAAAAAUUCCUUUUACUUUAUCUACAUCUUUGUCAGAAAACCCGAGAUUCUUUAAGUUCUCCAUAGUGGGUUCAAUUUGUAACAACAGUCUUAAUUUCCCAAGAGAUAUUGGAGAAUAUUGCAAUGUAAUAUUAACCGUAUCAUUCUUAGGUGUAAUUCUCACUAAAUCGCUAUAUCUGCUUUGUACAAAGUCGUUUUUAACAAUAGGUAAAAACUUCCUGCCCUGUAUAAGUCUGAAAAAGUGGAAGAUUGUCAAAAAUUUGCUCUAAAAGAGGUGGUAAAUAAAGCAAUAUAAUUAUUUUAAUCCCAUACUUUAAAUGAUGCACAA